This 450-nucleotide ribosomal RNA is filed under the name uncultured bacterium. RNAcentral describes it as "partial 16S ribosomal RNA". It matches the Rfam family "Bacterial small subunit ribosomal RNA", at positions 354 to 796 of the family's 1533-position model. The record is from RNAcentral.
GUGGGGAAUUUUGGACAAUGGGGGCAACCCUGAUCCAGCAAUGCCGCGUGCAGGAAGAAGGCCUUCGGGUUGUAAACUGCUUUUGUACGGAACGAAACGGUCCUGGUUAAUACCUGGGGCUAAUGACGGUACCGUAAGAAUAAGCACCGGCUAACUACGUGCCAGCAGCCGCGGUAAUACGUAGGGUGCAAGCGUUAAUCGGAAUUACUGGGCGUAAAGCGUGCGCAGGCGGUUUUGUAAGACAGGCGUGAAAUCCCCGGGCUCAACCUGGGAAUGGCGCUGGUGACUGCAAGGCUGGAGUGCGGCAGAGGGGGAUGGAAUUCCGCGUGUAGCAGUGAAAUGCGUAGAUAUGCGGAGGAACACCGAUGGCGAAGGCAAUCCCCUGGGCCUGCACUGACGCUCAUGCACGAAAGCGUGGGGAGCAAACAGGAUUAGAUACCCGAGUAGUCC